Molecule: long non-coding RNA, 1186 nt
Organism: Oncorhynchus keta (chum salmon)
Lineage: Eukaryota; Metazoa; Chordata; Actinopteri; Salmoniformes; Salmonidae
Exons: 7
Source: RefSeq, a predicted model, not a curated record
GGUUAGGAUAAUUAACGUGGCAGGUUAGGAUAAUUAACGUGGCAGGUUAGGAUAAUUAACGUGGCAGGUUAGGAUAAUUAACGUGGCAGGUUAGGAUAAUUAACGUGUCAGGUUAGGAUAAUUAACGUGGCAGGUUAGGAUAAUUAACGUGGCAGGUUAGGAUAAUUAACGUGGCAGGUUAGGAUAAUUAACGUGGCAGGUUAGGAUAAUUAACGUGGCAGGUUAGGAUAAUUAACGUGGCAGGUUAGGAUAAUUAACGUGUCAGGUUAGGAUAAUUAACGUGGCAGGUUAGGAUAAUUAACGUGGCAGGUUAGGAUAAUUAACGUGGCAGGUUAGGAUAAUUAACGUGUCAGGUUAGGAUAAUUAACGUGGCAGGUUAGGAUAAUUAACGUGGCAGGUUAGGAUAAUUAACGUGGCAGGUUAGGAUAAUUAACGUGGCAGGUUAGGAUAAUUAACGUGUCAGGUUAGGAUAAUUAACGUGGCAGGUUAGGAUAAUUAACGUGGCAGGUUAGGAUAAUUAACGUGUCAGGUUAGGAUAAUUAACGUGUCAGGUUAGGAUAAUUAACGUGUCAGGUUAGGAUAAUUAACGUGUCAGGUUAGGAUAAUUAACGUGUCAGGUUAGGAUAAUUAACGUGGCAGGUUAGGAUAAUUAACGUGUCAGGUUAGGAUAAUUAACGUGUCAGGUUAGGAUAAUUAACGUGGCAGGUUAGGAUAAUUAACGUGGCAGGUUAGGAGAAUGAGAUUAAGGUUAGGAAAAGGGUUAGUCUUAGCCAAAAUGCUACAGUUAUCAACAAUCGACUCGUGCCGCCCAAUCAGCCACACAAAAAGGUCUUGAGUGGCAACAAAUCUGCCCUAUUUGCUGAUUUGCUUUCCACACACCCACUUCUGUUAAUCCUCCCACUUCUGUUGACACGCCCACUUUCAGACACACGCCAUGUUUGCAGUUACCCAUGACUCACUACUUACCUCAAACUAUAUAGUAGGACCCCUUUUAACCUCUAUAGCUGCGUUUACACAGGCAGCCCAAUUCUGAUCUAUUUUCCACUAAUUGUUUUUUUGGACCAAUCACAUCAAAUCUUUUCACAUAUUUUUCAGAGCUGAUCUGAUUAGUCAAAGGGCCAAUUAGUGGAAAACAGAUCAGAAUUCUGCUGCCUGUUUAAACGCAGGCUAUUAUGUCUCUGCUGUG